This 6994-nucleotide long non-coding RNA is filed under the name Nicotiana tabacum (common tobacco). RNAcentral describes it as "long non-coding RNA (NTAB_LNC011802)". Lineage: Eukaryota; Viridiplantae; Streptophyta; Magnoliopsida; Solanales; Solanaceae. The record is from RNAcentral.
GGAGAGAUCAAGGUUGUGAACGCCAUGCAGCUACCUCAAUACUCCCGGAUACUGCCUGCUCAGCUAAACAAUUCCUCACUUAGCCUGUGGUGUACCUGGAUCUGCACGCAAGGUGCAGGGAGUAAUGUGAGUACUCCAACCCAGUGAGUAAUAAACAUAAAUAAAGGCUGAGAAUAAGAAAUCAUGGAAAAAUACAAAGUAAACUAUAACUGAUAGUUUAGAACAACAAAUAGUGAAGCAACAAGUCAAUUAAAUCAGAGUACCAAAUACUGAGACAGGUAUAACCGAUAAAAAUAAAUGCAUGAGUGCAAUGCAAUGCAUAUGAUGGUACACUCUAGUACCCACUGCAGCGUGCAGCCCGAGCCAUCCAUUUAUUUAUCGUCGACGGCGCUCACUGGGGGUGUGUGCAGACUCCGGAGGGGCUCCUACAGCCCAAGCGCUAUAUCAAGCCAUCUCGUGGCAUCAAAUCUAGGCCCUCGGCCUCAUAUCAAUCUCAGUAUAAUCACCCAGGCUCUCGGGCUCAAUAUCAAUGUAAUCAACCAGGCUCUCGGCCUCAAUAUCAAUGUAAUCAACCAGGCUCUCGGCCUCAAUAUCAAUAUAACACUACUGCGGCGCAGCCCAAUCCAUGCUCAGAACAGAAAUCAUCAUAAGCCCCUUAGGCAUUUGUAAAACAGUAGUUCUUAGCCCGAAAUAUCAUUUAGAAAUAUCAUUUAAGUUUUUCAAAUCUUAGAAAGAUGGCUGAGUUUGCAAAACAGUAUUUAAAACCUUGGACUGAGGUCAAAUGAUAUGCAAAAUAUGCGAAAGCAGUGAUAUCAAUCCCUGAAGGAUUCAAAUAAUUGGCAAGAAGCCCAAAUGUAACAAUUAAAUCCAAGUAAGGAUGAUUCUCAAUUUAGUUCAAGUAGAAAACACGGAAAAAAUAUCUCUCGGGACAGACCAAGUCACAAUCCCCAACGGUGCUCUACCCCACGGCCGUUAUCCGACGUGCAAGUCACCUCAAUAUAGCGUUACAAUGUGAAAUUCCGGGGUUUCAAACCCUCAGGACAUCAUUUACAUCAAUUACUCACCUCGAACCGGCUACUUCUUUAGCUCGCGACGCCUUUGCCCCUCGAAUUGGCCUCCACGUGCGUCGAAUCUAUCCAACAUCAGAACGAAUAUGUCAUAAUAUGAUAAGGGAACAAAUCCCAAUCAAAACAAUCGAAAAAUACCAAAAUUCUCGAAUUUAGCUAAAACCCGAGCAAAAUACUACUCCACAAUGCCUUUUCCUCUCAAAUCGACCUCCGAAUGCCACGAAUCUAGCCACAAUAAUUCGAUUCAAUCAAUAAAAAUUAUAGGAAUUAAUUCCAUAUGGAAUUCUACACUUUCCAUUAAAAAUCCGAAAUUGCACUAAAAAUUCGCCCGUGGGGCCCGCGUCUCGGAAUCCGGCGAAACUUAUAAAAUCCGACAACCCAUUCCGAUACGAGUUCAACCAUACCAAAAUUAUCAAAUUCCGGCAACAACUUGACCUCCAAAUUUUAAUUUUUCAUUUUUUGGAAGAUUUUGCAAAAAUCUUGAUAUCUUCCAUUUAAAUCUGAAUUAAACGAUAAAAAUAACCAUGGAUUUAUGUAAUAUAAACACUUUCAAGUAUAGGACACUUACUUGAGUUGAAAUCGUGAAGAACACCUCAAAAUCGCCCAAGAACCGAGCUCCAAAAAUCCCAAAACGAAAAUGAAGAAAUCAGCAUUUUUGGUCCUUAAGUUUCUGUCCACCUGUCACUAAAAGUCCAGUUUCGUCGCUAAAAGUCGUCACUAAAAGUCCACCAGAGACAGUUUUACCAGCCAUAUUCAAUCGAGCAUAACUUUCAGUACAAAUGUCCGAAUGACAAAUGGUUUAAAUUUCUGGAACCUAGAAUACAAGGGCUGCAAUUUUCAUGUUUUAUACAUUUUCCGAUUCCAUAUAUAUUUAGAGAUAUAAGCUUCCCAAUUAGCCUCCUCGCAUCAGAAAUUUCUGGGAAAUUUCAAAAAUAGCUUUACUAGCCCUUAUUCAAUCGAUCAUAACUUUCUGUACAAAUAUCCAAAUGACAAAUGGUUUAUAUUUCUGGAAACUAGAAUACAAGGGCUACAAGUUUCAUGUUUUAUACAUUUUCCGAUUUCUUAUAGAUUACGAGAUAUAAGCUUACAAAUUAUGCUCCUCGCAUCAAAAUUUUCGAACCUUGCUGUCAAAAAUCCAGCAAGUUAAAUUGGCCUAAAAAAUGGCCCGAAACCAUUCCGAAACUCACCCGAGCCCCUUGGAACUCUAACCAAGUAUGAAAACAUGUCUUAAAACAUCAUCCAAACUUGCUCCAAUCAUCAAAACACCUCAACUAACACUAAAAUCAUCGAAUUACAUCGAAUUCAAGCCUAAGUUCUUUUAAAACUUCCAAAACACGCAUUCGGUCAAAAACCCAACCAAACUGCCACUAGAAUGAAAUGUGCUGACUUGGUCAACCUGUCUAUAAUGACUCAUACCAUGUCUAACUUCCUAUAAGUCCGUGGCAUUCUAACAACAAAAUCCAUAGUGAUGCGCUCCCACUUCCACUCAGGAAUCUCUAACUUCUGAAGCAAACCAACAGGCCUCUGAUGCUCGUACUUAACUUUUUGACAAUUUAGACACCGAGCUACAUAUGCAACUAUAUCCUUCUUCAUCCUUCUCCACCAAUAAUGUUGCCGCAAGUCUUUAUACAUUAUGGCGGCACCCGGAUGAAUAGAAUACGGGAAACUGUGGGCCUCCUCAAGAAUCAACUCACGAAGUCCAUCUACAUUGGGCACACAAAUACGACCUUGCAUCCUCAAAACUCCAUCAUUUCCAACAUUAACCUGCUUAGAACCACCAUGGUGUAAUGUGUCGCUAAGGACAAGCAAAUGAGGAUCAUCAUACUGUCGCUCUUUGAUAUGCUCAUACAAUAAAGACCGAGUGACUAUACAAGCUAGAAUACGAUUGGGCUAUGAAAUAUCUAACCUCACGAACUGAUUGGCCAAAGCAUGAACAUCUUAUGCAAGCAGUCUCUCACCAAUUGGGAUGUACGCAAGGCUGCCCAUACUCACUUCCUUUUUACUCAAGGCAUCGGCCACCACAUUGGCCUUCCCGGGGUGAUACAAAAUGGUGAUAUCAUAGUCUUUCAACAACUCCAACCACCUCAUCUGCCACAAGUUCAAAUCCUUUUGUUUGAACAAAUACCGUAGACUCCAAUGAUCUGUGAAUACCUUGCACGACAUGCCGUAAAGAUAGUGCCUCCAAAUCUUCAGCGCAUGAACAGUGGCUGCAAACUCUAAGUCAUGAACAUGGUAAUUCUUCUCAUGAACCUUCAACUGUCGCGACGCAUAUGCGAUCGCCUUGCCAUCCUACAUCAAUACCACACAGAGCCCAAUACCAGAUACAUCAUAAUAAACCGUAUAAGAUCCUAAACCUAUUGGUAGCGCCAACACUAGCGUCGUAGUCAAAGCAGUCUUGAGCUUCUGAGAGCUCAACCCACACUCAUUUGACAAUUUGAAGGGCACCCUUUUGGGUCAAUCUAGUCAAUGGGGCUACUAUGGAUGAAACCCCCCACGAACCGGCAGUAAUAACCUGCCAAACCCAUGAAACUCUGGACCUCUAUAGCUAAAGUAGGUCUAGGCUAGUUCUGAACUACCUCAAUCUUUUUGGGAUCCACCUUUACGCCCUCUUCCGAUACUACAUGCCCUAAAAACAAUCGAGUCCAACCAAUACUCACACUUUGAAAACGUGGCAUAUAACUGGCUAUCUCUUAAAGUCUAAAGUAAAAUCUGAAGAUACUGCUCAUGCUCCUAUCGACUGCGGGAGUAAAUCAAGAUAUCAUCAAUAAAUACAACCAAAAAGGAAUCCAAAUACGUCUUGAACACCCAAUUCAUCAAAUCCAUAAAAUGUUGCGGGGGCAUUUGUCAGCCCAAGUGAUAUCACUAGGAACUCAUAAUGCCCAUAUCGAGUUCGAAAAGCUGUCUUAGGGACAUCAGAUGCCCUAAUCUUCAACUGACGGUAGCCAGACCUCAAAAUAAUCUCUGAAAACACCUUGGCACCCUGAAACUGAUCAAAUAAGUCAUCAAUCCUUGGCAAUGGAUACUUGUUCUUGAUUGCGACUUUGUUCAACUGCCGAUAAUCUAUGCACAUCCUCAUCGAUCCAUCAUUUUUCUUCACGAACAACACAAUCGCACCCCAAGGCGGGAUACUAGGUCUAAUAAAGCCCUUAUCAAGCAAGUCUUACAGCAGCUCCUUUAAUUCUUUCAGCUCUGGCGGGGGCAUACGGUAUGGCAGAAUAGAAAUAGGCUGAGUGCCCGGAGCCAAAUCAAUACAUAAGUUAAUAUCUCUGUCGAAUGGCAUCCCCAACAGAUCUGCAUGAAACACCUCUAGAAACUCAUGGACAACUUGUACUAAAUCCAUGGAAGGAAUCUGCGCACCAAAAUCGCAAAAAUAUAAGCCAAAUAAGCUAGACACCCCUUCUUGACAAUACGUCGAGCCUUCACAUAAGAGAUAACUUUGCUGGAAGAAUGGCCAAGAGUUCCCUUGCACUCUAAUCGAGGCAAUGCCGGUAUGGAUAAGGUCACCAUCUUGGCAAGACAAUCCAAUAAGCAUGAUAAGGUGACAACCAAUCCAUACCCAAGAUGAUAUCAAAAUCUACCAUAUCAAGAAGUAGGAGAUCUACGCUAGUCUCAAAACUCCUAAUAGUAACCACACACGAGCGAUAAUCACGAUCUACAACAAUAGAAUCUUGUAACACCCCAAACUUUAGAUAGAAUCCCACAUAAACAACACACAAGAGGGAUGCUGGGUAUAUAAGUUAACAAUCCUUAGACCCUAGUGACGCGUUUUAGACCUGUGAGGGUCUAGGCCCAGAACAGAUAAUAUUACUAGCGGGCUGAGCUGUUACAGAUGGUAUUAGAGACACUGUUGUGUCAGCCUUGCCGAUGGUUGGUCAGAGUUCAACUGAGUUGAGGCAAAUCCCAGUUAGGCGGGGUAAAUCUCAGUGCUGAGUCUAGGCGAAUCCCAUGCAGUGGAGCAAACCUUAGCAAAGACGCUGAGUCCAUAAGAGGGGGUGUAUGUAACACCCUAGACUUUAGACAGAUUCCCACAUCGGCAAUACACAAGAGGGAUGUUGGUUAUAUAAGUUAACAAGCCUUAGACCCUAGUGACGCAUUUUAAACCCAUGAGGGCCUAGGCCCAGAGCGGACAAUAUCACUAGCGGGCUGAGCUAUUACAAAUCUCCCACAGGUAUGGACACAUACACAGGAGCACUCAAAGAAUCACGAGACACAACCAGAUAUGAAGCAAUAUAGGAUGACACGUAGGAAUGAGUAGAGCUCGGAUCAAAUAGAACUGAAGCAUCACUAUAGCAGACUGGAAAAAUACAUAUGAUAACAGUGUCAGAUGACUAAACCUCAAGCCUAGACGGGAAAGCAUAAUAUCAGAUCUGGGCCUCACCACACUAAACUACGUCUCUAGGAUGGGCUCUAGCUGGCUGGCCUCCAUCUCUAACAGCCUGACCCCACCUUUGGCUGCUUGACCCCUGCCCCUAGCUAACUGAAUGAGUGGUAAAGCAACUAGUGCCGAAAUUAUGGCAUGAGAACUCUGUUGUGGCAUGCCACCCAAUAAUCUCGGAUUGACCUCCUGAUAUUCCUAAUACCACCACACUCAAAACACCCAUCCUGCUGUUGUGGCUGCUGAAACUGAAGCUGACCUGAACAAGCCGAAUAACCAUGAUGAUAACUCUUAAUCGGAGGCGCACUGAUAGGAGCUGGUGGUGCACUGUAGGUUGGUUUCCCAAAAUAAGGCACAUAAGGACCACGACUUCCUUAAACUAGGGGUGGGCAUUCGGUAUUUUAGUUUGGUAUAUAAGAAUUUCGGUUCGAUAUUUCGGUAUUCGGUUUAUCAAUUGGUUAUACCAAAUACCGUACCAAAUUAUUUCGAUACGGUUCGGUAUUUAUUAUUUUGGUUCGGUACGGUUUCGGUUUAAUGCUAUCAUUCAUAAUAACGAAAUGCUGCCAACCAUUAGUUCAAAACUUUGGGGGUGUAGUAAAGACAUGCCUAUGACCUAUCACUGAUCUGAACAUGAGUGUUGCUAUGAGUGUUCAAAACUUUGGGUAACAAGUAACAUAAUUAGAAUGUCUUUAAAGACAUGCCUAUGAUCUGUAAUGACUUAAUGUCAUUACUGCUACUGUUAUAGGCAACCUAAACAACCUAUGAUUAAGUAUCUGAAUGACAACCUAAACAAAAACAAUCAAUGACAAAAUUGAAAACCAUUAAGUCAUUAACAACAUUUUCACAGAAAAGAAGUUCAACAGUGCAAUAACAAUAGCAGUAACGACUAAACCUGAAGUCUUGAACGAUUGAACCUAAACAUUUUCAUAGCAGCCUGCAGUAUAACAGGCUGCAAAUUUUAGUGUUCUAACAGCACUGUAGAAGCAUUAACAACAAAUUAAAUAGUGCAAUAACAGUAGCACUAGUAGCAUAAUUAACAGUAGCAGAAAUGCAAAAUUAGUGUUCUAACUUCUAAUAGUACCAGCAGGCAGCAGUGCCUAAUCGCAUAUACCUCUUUCCAUAUUCAAUUUCCAAAAUAAAUUGGUACAAAAAAAUGCCUAGGCCCCAUUUUGAUUUUGUUGCUACUAAGUCUAUUACUGCAUAUAUUCGCAGAGCAUCCAAGAAAAUGAAUAUUAGUUCUAUCUAAUCUUCAAAACUUAGAUCAUGAAAUGAGAGUUCCUCGAGACAAAUUAGAAAAAUGGAGAUUGAAGAAUGAAAAAUUGAAAAGUUAUGAACUAGACCUGUUGAAGUCUUGAUUUGAAGAGUUAACUGCAGACGUCGGACAACCGAUCUCACAAGCGAGUGGCGACAGCGGACGCCACCAGACAGCCGAUCUCUGAGUUUUUGAGUAAGGGGUCGUUCGUUCUUACUUAGGUUUCUCAGUUGUUUACUCGUUGUUAGUUCUUGCUUCUUAGUUCUUAGCUUUCUCAGAAUGUUAGGACUUAGGUUAAGG